Paramuricea clavata is the source of this 319-nucleotide non-coding RNA. Lineage: Eukaryota; Metazoa; Cnidaria; Anthozoa; Malacalcyonacea; Plexauridae. The record is from the annotation of a GenBank genome assembly.
GUUUAGCAAAGUCAUACUUGUGUACAUUUAAAAUUUAAUAUGUUGAAUAAAAUUGUUGAGUGUUUUAGGUUUUCCGUUUGCAUUAAAUAUGGAAGCGGGAAAUUUAGUAAAAGACAAAGGAUUUCUUUGUCUACUAAUCAUCCCGUGCAUUUUUGAUGAGGGAAGAUUAGUAGACAAAGAAAUCUUUUGUUUUUUACUAAAUUUCCCGGGGAAAUUUAGUAGACAAAGCGAAAUAUUCCCUGUUGCAUGCGUAAUGAGGAAAAUACGGGAUUUAAAUUCCCUAUGAGAACAAUAGAAAACGAGGCGAUCAUGAUAUUAC